This 64-nucleotide transfer RNA is filed under the name Atheta sp. 1 EF-2015. RNAcentral's name for it is "tRNA-Ile". Lineage: Eukaryota; Metazoa; Arthropoda; Insecta; Coleoptera; Staphylinidae. The record is from RNAcentral.
AACAGAGUGCCUGAUUAAAGGGUUAUUUUGAUAGAAUAAAUUAUGUAAUUUUUUACCUCUGUUA